RNAcentral lists this ribosomal RNA (460 nucleotides) under uncultured bacterium. Its description in RNAcentral is "partial 16S ribosomal RNA". It matches the Rfam family "Bacterial small subunit ribosomal RNA", at positions 338 to 795 of the family's 1533-position model. The record is from RNAcentral.
GCUACGGGAGGCAGCAGUGAGGAAUAUUGGUCAAUGGACGAGAGUCAGAACCAGCCAAGUAGCGUGAAGGAUGACUGCCCUAUGGGUUGUAAACUUCUUUUAUAAAGGAAUAAAACGAGGCACGUGUGCCUUUUUGCAUGUACUUUAUGAAUAAGGAUCGGCUAACUCCGUGCCAGCAGCCGCGGUAAUACGGAGGAUCCGAGCGUUAUCCGGAUUUAUUGGGUUUAAAGGGAGCGUAGAUGGGUUGUUAAGUAAGUUGUGAAAGUUUGCGGCUCAACCGGAAAAUUGCAAUUGAUACUGGCAGUCUUGAGUACAGUUGAGGUAGGCGGAAUUCGUGGUGUAGCGGUGAAAUGCUUAGAUAUCACGAAGAACCCCGAUUGCGAAGGCAGCUUACUAAACUGUGACUGACAUUGAUGCUCGAAAGUGUGGGUAUCAAACAGGAUUAGAUACCCUUGUAGUC